Molecule: long non-coding RNA, 495 nt
Organism: Lolium rigidum
Lineage: Eukaryota; Viridiplantae; Streptophyta; Magnoliopsida; Poales; Poaceae
Exons: 3
Source: RefSeq, a predicted model, not a curated record
GUGCUUCUAUACUCUUGACUGGUCCUGAAUCUCCUGUUGCUAAGGCAACAGUUCUCUCAGUUGAUCCAGACACACUUGUGGGUGGGGAGCCCCUUGGGCCUGCGACUUAUGAGGUAAUUGUGAAUGCUGCGAUUAAAAGGGGUGCUACGCUGCCAUAUCAGUAUGAUGAUUUAAGAUACAUCGGUGAUGCUGUCACAAGGUCCAUUGCAUGGCCAUCUAGCAAGAUGAAGCCCUACAAACCAGCAGCGUCUGGCUCAUCUCGUCGCUGAGGUAUUUCGGUUGAAAAUCAGUUUCGAGGAGAGAAACUGAAGAUGAUAUGUCCCAUUCAAAUAUGAAUUAUCAUGCAAAAUGGUUGCCGCAAACCACCAAGUAGCUGGAUGUUUCCCAUCAACAAGAUGAGUUGUGUAAUGGAGUAAAUUUGGUCUCAUAGGCUACCUUUCUGUUAUCAUUUUGUAAGACUGGUUAUAUGGUAAUCAUUUGGCUUCCAUUUUGUAA